UGAGCCUGGGAGGCUGGGAGGUUGAGACUGA
This 31-nucleotide non-coding RNA is filed under the name Homo sapiens (human). Lineage: Eukaryota; Metazoa; Chordata; Mammalia; Primates; Hominidae. The record is from RNAcentral.